UGGGGAAUAUUGCACAAUGGGCGCAAGCCUGAUGCAGCCAUGCCGCGUGUGUGAAGAAGGCCUUCGGGUUGUAAAGCACUUUCAGCGAGGAGGAAGGCAACAAGGUUAAUAACCUUGCUGAUUGACAUUACUCGCAGAAGAAGCACCGGCUAACUCCGUGCCAGCAGCCGCGGUAAUACGGAGGGUGCAAGCGUUAAUCGGAAUGACUGGGCGUAAAGCGCACGCAGGCGGUUUGUUAAGUUGGAUGUGAAAUCCCCGGGCUUAACCUGGGAACUGCAUUCAAAACUGGCAAGCUAGAGUCUCGUAGAGGGGGGUAGAAUUCCAGGUGUAGCGGUGAAAUGCGUAGAUAUCUGGAGGAAUACCGGUGGCGAAGGCGGCCCCCAGGACGAAGACUGACGCUCAGGUGCGAAAGCGUGGGGAGCAAACA
This 427-nucleotide ribosomal RNA is filed under the name uncultured Pectobacterium sp. RNAcentral describes it as "bacterial SSU rRNA". It matches the Rfam family "Bacterial small subunit ribosomal RNA", at positions 355 to 774 of the family's 1533-position model. The record is from RNAcentral. Lineage: Bacteria; Pseudomonadati; Pseudomonadota; Gammaproteobacteria; Enterobacterales; Pectobacteriaceae.